CAGUAGCCACGGGAACACCAGCAGCCCAAGUGGUGGUCGCGUUUAUUGGGCCUAAAGCGCUCGUAGCCUGGCCGGUAAGUUCCCCGUGAAAUCGGGUCGCCCAACGAUUCGGCUUGCGGGAAAUACUGUCGGUCUUGGGGCCGGGAGACGCCGAGGGUACUCCGGGGGUAGCGGUGAAAUGCUGUAAUCCUCGGGGGACUACCAGUGGCGAAGGCGCUCGGCGAUAACGGGCCUGACGGUGAGGGGCGAAAGCUGGGGGCGCGAACGGGAUUAGAGACCCCAGUAGUCCCUGUCUCUUAUA
Molecule: ribosomal RNA, 301 nt
Filed under: uncultured bacterium
Lineage: Bacteria
Description: partial 16S ribosomal RNA
Rfam family: Archaeal small subunit ribosomal RNA
Source: RNAcentral